RNAcentral lists this ribosomal RNA (484 nucleotides) under uncultured bacterium. RNAcentral's name for it is "partial 16S ribosomal RNA". It matches the Rfam family "Bacterial small subunit ribosomal RNA", at positions 30 to 507 of the family's 1533-position model. The record is from RNAcentral.
AUUGAACGCUGGCGGCAGGCCUAACACAUGCAAGUCGAGCGGAUGAAGGGAGCUUUCUCCUGUCUUCCGCGGCGGACGGGUGAGUAAUGCCUAGGAAUCUGCCUGGUAGUUGGGGAUAACGUCCGUACACGGGCGCUAAUACCGCAUCCGUCCUGAGGGAGAAAGUGGGGGAUCUUCGGACCUCACGCUAUCAGAUGAGCCUAGGUCGGAUUAGCUAGUUGGUGGGGUAAAGGCCUACCAAGGCGACGAUCCGUAACUGGUCUGAGAGGAUGAUCAGUCACACUGGAACUGAGACACGGUCCAGACUCCUACGGGAGGCAGCAGUGGGGAAUAUUGGACAAUGGGCGAAAGCCUGAUCCAGCCAUGCCGCGUGUGUGAAGAAGGUCUUCGGAUUGUAAAGCACUUUAAGUUGGGAGGAAGGGAAGUAAGUUAAAACCUGGAUGUUUUGACGUUACCAACAGAAUAAGCACCGGCUAACUUCGUG